CACUCGAGCGCCUCCUUAAUCUCCCAUAUGGUAGUGGAGGGGCUCAGGCGCAGGGCCAGGCUGACCCCUGACAGCUGCUUGACCAUCACUUGCAUGGGUGUCGGUACCUGCACAUCCCAGCAGCAGAUGGCGGCAAGGCCGUUCCUACAGCACAGCUGGUCCCGGCACUUGGCGGCUUCUCUCGCCAGCAGGUCCCAGUUCUUUCCCUGCCCCAAGGUUCCCGUCGGGUCGGCUGGAUCCAGGAUCACGGGGCUG
Molecule: long non-coding RNA, 255 nt
Organism: Gopherus flavomarginatus (Mexican gopher tortoise)
Lineage: Eukaryota; Metazoa; Chordata; Testudines; Testudinidae
Exons: 3
Source: RefSeq, a predicted model, not a curated record